This 253-nucleotide ribosomal RNA is filed under the name uncultured bacterium. Its description in RNAcentral is "partial 16S ribosomal RNA". It matches the Rfam family "Bacterial small subunit ribosomal RNA", at positions 524 to 776 of the family's 1533-position model. The record is from RNAcentral.
UACGAAGGGGGCUAGCGUUGUUCGGAAUUACUGGGCGUAAAGCGCACGUAGGCGGACAUUUAAGUCAGGGGUGAAAUCCCAGAGCUCAACUCUGGAACUGCCUUUGAUACUGGGUGUCUUGAGUAUGGAAGAGGUGAGUGGAAUUCCGAGUGUAGAGGUGAAAUUCGUAGAUAUUGGGAAGAACACCGGUGGCGAAGGCGGCUCUCUGGACCGAUACUGACGCUGAGGCGCGAAAGCGUGGGGAGCAAACAGG